GAUGAACGCUAGCUACAGGCUUAACACAUGCAAGUCGAGGGGAAACGGCAUUGAGUGCUUGCACUCUUUGGACGUCGACCGGCGCACGGGUGAGUAACGCGUAUCCAACCUUCCCAUUACUGUGGGAUAACCUGCCGAAAGGCAGACUAAUACCGCAUAGUCUUCGAUGACGGCAUCAGAUUUGAAGUAAAGAUUUAUCGGUAAUGGAUGGGGAUGCGUCUGAUUAGCUUGUUGGCAGGGUAACGGCCCACCAAGGCUACGAUCAGUAGGGGUUCUGAGAGGAAGGUCCCCCACAUUGGAACUGAGACACGGUCCAAACUCCUACGGGAGGCAGCAGUGAGGAAUAUUGGUCAAUGGACGGAAGUCUGAACCAGCCAAGUAGCGUGCAGGAUGACGGCCCUAUGGGUUGUAAACUGCUUUUGUAUGGGGAUAAAGUUAGGGACGUGUCCCUAUUUGCAGGUACCAUACGAAUAAGGACCGGCUAAUUCCGUG
Molecule: ribosomal RNA, 492 nt
Filed under: uncultured bacterium
Lineage: Bacteria
Description: partial 16S ribosomal RNA
Rfam family: Bacterial small subunit ribosomal RNA
Source: RNAcentral